CAGUAGCCGCGGGAAUACAGAGGGUGCGAGCGUUAAUCGGAUUUACUGGGCAUAAAGCGUGCGUAGGCGGCUUUUUAAGUCGGAUGUGAAAUCCCUGAGCUUAACUUAGGAAUUGCAUUCGAUACUGGGAAGCUAGAGUAUGGGAGAGGAUGGUAGAAUUCCAGGUGUAGCGGUGAAAUGCGUAGAGAUCUGGAGGAAUACCGAUGGCGAAGGCAGCCAUCUGGCCUAAUACUGACGCUGAGGUACGAAAGCAUGGGGAGCAAACAGGAUUAGAUACCCGCGUAGUCCCUGUCUCUUAUAC
This 301-nucleotide ribosomal RNA is filed under the name uncultured bacterium. RNAcentral describes it as "partial 16S ribosomal RNA". It matches the Rfam family "Bacterial small subunit ribosomal RNA", at positions 509 to 807 of the family's 1533-position model. The record is from RNAcentral.